This 502-nucleotide ribosomal RNA is filed under the name uncultured bacterium. Its description in RNAcentral is "partial 16S ribosomal RNA". It matches the Rfam family "Bacterial small subunit ribosomal RNA", at positions 28 to 507 of the family's 1533-position model. The record is from RNAcentral.
GACGAACGCUGGCGGCGUGCUUAACACAUGCAAGUCGAACGGUGAAGGGGUCUGCUUUUGUGGGCCCUGGAUGAGUGGCGAACGGGUGAGUAACACGUGAGUAACCUGCCCCCUUCUUCUGGAUAACCGCAUGAAAGUGUGGCUAAUACGGGAUAUUCUGGGUCUGUCGCAUGAUGGGUCUGGGAAAGAUUGCGCCUUUGGGUGUUUUUGGUGGGGGAUGGGCUCGCGGCCUAUCAGCUUGUUGGUGGGGUGAUGGCCUACCAAGGUGGUGACGGGGAGCCGGCCUGAGAGGGGGGAAGGUCAGAAUGGGACUGAGACACGGCCCAGACUGCUACGGGAGGCAGCAGUGGGGAAUAUUGCACAAUGGGCGCAAGCCUGAUGCAGCGACGCCGCGUGAGGGAGGGAGGCCUUCGGGUUGUAAACCUCUUUCGCCAGUGAAGCAGGCCUGCUCCUUGUGGGUGGGUUGACGGUAGCUGGAUAAGAAGCGCCGGCUAACUACGUG